UACGUAGGGUGCGAGCGUUAAUCGGAAUUACUGGGCGUAAAGCGUGCGCAGGCGGUUUUGUAAGCCAGAUGUGAAAUCCCCGGGCUUAACCUGGGAAUGGCAUUUGGGACUGCAAGGCUGGAGUGCGGCAGAGGAGACUGGAAUUCCUGGUGUAGCAGUGAAAUGCGUAGAUAUCAGGAGGAAUACCGAUGGCGAAGGCAGGUCUCUGGGCUGACACUGACGCUCAUGCACGAAAGGCGUGGGGAGCAAACGAGG
This 255-nucleotide ribosomal RNA is filed under the name uncultured bacterium. RNAcentral's name for it is "partial 16S ribosomal RNA". It matches the Rfam family "Bacterial small subunit ribosomal RNA", at positions 524 to 777 of the family's 1533-position model. The record is from RNAcentral.